AGAUGUGCGGUUGGGUUGAUCUUGUGACAUCUGCCGCCUCAUUGUUUGCCAGGGUUCAUUUGGCUGAUCUGGCUGUCUAGGGGCGUGGCCCCUUCCUUCCUUCCUCCUACUGCUGUGUGUGAGCUCCUCCUGAAGCUGUGUGUUGGGUGGGGUGCAAGAGGGUAAAUCUUGAUAGAGGAAGGCUGGUUUUUGGAGGAGGAUAUGGGAGCAGCUGUGUUUCCCCUGCUAGAUCCUCCAAGCUUUCACAAAUCCUAGAACACUUACUCUUUGGGCCUUUACAGACCAAGU
This 288-nucleotide small RNA is filed under the name Peromyscus maniculatus bairdii (prairie deer mouse). RNAcentral's name for it is "7SK RNA (ENSPEMG00000003105.2)". It matches the Rfam family "7SK RNA", at positions 1 to 250 of the family's 331-position model. From Rfam's summary of the family: 7SK was discovered as an abundant small nuclear RNA in the mid-70s but a possible function has only recently been suggested. Two independent studies have found that 7SK RNA binds the CDK9/cyclin T complex (known as elongation factor P-TEFb). P-TEFb activates transcription by phosphorylating the C-terminal domain of RNA polymerase II. Lineage: Eukaryota; Metazoa; Chordata; Mammalia; Rodentia; Cricetidae. The record is from RNAcentral.